GUUUGAUCAUGGCUCAGAACGAACGCUGGCGGCAGGCCUAAUACAUGCAAGUCGAACGCACCGCAAGGUGAGUGGCAGACGGGUGAGUAACGCGUGGGAACCUUCCCAGUGGUACGGAAUAACUCCGGGAAACCGGUGCUAAUACCGUAUAAGCCCCUUGGGGGAAAGAUUUAUCGCCAUUGGAUGGGCCCGCGUCGGAUUAGCUAGUUGGUGAGGUAAUGGCUCACAAAGGCUUCGAUCCGUAGCUGGUCUGAGAGGAUGAUCAGCCACACUGGGACUGAGACACGGCCCAGACUCCUACGGGAGGCAGCAGUAGGGAAUAUUGGACAAUGGGCGAAAGCCUGAUCCAGCCAUGCCGCGUGAGUGAAGAAGGCCUUAGGGUUGUAAAGCUCUUUUGGUGGGGAAGAUAAUGACGGUACCCACAGAAUAAGCUCCGGCUAACUUCGUGCCAGCAGCCGCGGUAAUACGAAGGGGGCUAGCGUUGUUCGGAAUCACUGGGCGUAAAGCGCACGCAGGCGGAUUGAUAAGUCGGGGGUGAAAUCCCGGGGCUCAACCUCGGAAUUGCCUUCGAUACUGUCUGUCUUGAGUCCGGGAGAGGUGAGUGGAAUUCCUAGUGUAGAGGUGAAAUUCGUAGAUAUUAGGAAGAACACCAGUGGCGAAGGCGGCUCACUGGCCCGGUACUGACGCUCAUGU
RNAcentral lists this ribosomal RNA (693 nucleotides) under uncultured bacterium. RNAcentral describes it as "bacterial SSU rRNA". It matches the Rfam family "Bacterial small subunit ribosomal RNA", at positions 11 to 752 of the family's 1533-position model. The record is from RNAcentral.